This 3136-nucleotide long non-coding RNA is filed under the name Sus scrofa (pig). RNAcentral describes it as "lncRNA (ENSSSCG00060023999.1)". The record is from RNAcentral. Lineage: Eukaryota; Metazoa; Chordata; Mammalia; Artiodactyla; Suidae.
ACCGGAGACUGGGUGCAUAUUCACCUGCUGAGCAUCGUCCUCCUGCCCCCUCACGAUGUCCCUCCCAGACCUGGAAAUGCAGGGACCCUGGAGCGUAAACGCCACUGAGGAGCUUACGAUGAAACCAACACCUUCGUGCUUCAGGAAGACUCGGGCCCUAGAGCAGAAAUAACCGAAGCCCCACGUUCCAGUCGCGGGAUGCGUGAUGCGGGAGGGAGAUGGAUGGACUGAGCCAGAUGGACAAGGGUUUUCAGACUUGCCAGGUUUACUUUGCCCUCAGCACCCAGCAUCCUUCCCUGAGCGGCCGGAGAGAACGGCGCGGGAUGCGGAUGAGGCAUCCAGGCUUCAGUGUAAAGGUUCGACCACUUCCCGGAGCCUCGGUUCACCGUGUUGGUGGUUCCAGAACCAUCUCCUGGCUCCCACUCCCCUGCCCCUUGCCCUACAGCACCCACAGGCGCACCCUUGCUGCUGAGGAGCCUGGGCCGUCCGUGCUCUUCCGCAAAGCCUGCAUUCACCAGACGCCAACUUCGCGGCAGAAUCCCGGAGCCUGACUGUGGACCAGGCACAGAAACCCCGGAUGUCGUCCUUCCCUCUGGGCGCCGGGCCGGGGCCUCAGGUGCAUGUGCACACUCGCUGGGAAGCUGCUGAAGGGCGGUUUCUCCGCUCAGAACUCGAGGAAACGCCCGGCCCUGUGGCGGCAGAAGCACCGGCCGCCCCGGCCCUCCCGCUGCCCGGCUGGGCCGCUGCUGUCCCCCGUCCCCGGGAAGGUCUGUCCCGAGGCGGAGCCGGUGUGGCGGGUCGCUGCUUUCGUGAGAUGCUCCAAGACAGCCACGGCCAAAGGCAAAAUACGUGGGAAAGGCUGCGGACUCCGCCGCACCCGCGGCCUUUGGGAGAUACGUGGCGAAAGAGCAUUUUUUAAAAAACCCCCUGGCAACUUUUUUUUCCGGCAUUUUUAACCCCGGUGCUUUCUGAGGCGAUAUCGAUUAACAACCAGCAGAGGCAGAGCCUCGGAAGACACGCGCUGGAAGGCGCCGCCGGCGACCAGGCGCGGCAGGUGGCGGAGGCGGGAAGGAGGAAGCGGUUCUGGGGGCGCGUCCCUCGCAGGGGUUGCAGCACGUGCCAGGUGGGGGGAACCCACGUGGGACAGGAAACCCCAGGUCCUGAAAAGGUGGCACCGCCUCCUGACAGAACCCGAGCAGCCGUCAAGGGUAACUGGUGCCGCAUGGGGCAGGUGGCUCCGUUUGACAAGAGCUAAGAUGGCUGAGAAGACCAAGAAAAUCCCAAAUCGAAAGAAACAGGACCCCCCGUCCACGAAGACAUUAGCUGCCUCUUCACACAGACAAGAGGUGAACUCUUUCGGGGCGGCCCCUCGGCCCCUCGGUCUAUCCCUCGAAGCUCCUUUCACGUUCUCACCACCAUCCAGACAAACUCCCCGUCUGGGUCCCGAGAACUCCCAGGCCGCGGUGUUUCCAGCAAGUGCAGGGUGGGGCGCAGGAUAGACGCCACGGUGUGUGUCUGCGGCGCACAAUCUGCUGUUCCAACCCGCGGACGUGUCCCUUGCAUCUGCCACCACAAAGUCAUGACCGUACCCACCCCUCCCGAAAUAUGCUUGCAUUCCGGCAAUUUCUCCUCCCCUACCCCCUCUCUCCCGCUGCUGGUCCUGAGGAAACCGUGGGUCUGCUUCUGUGGCUGAAACAUCAUUUGCAUUUUGUGCGGAGUUGCGUCCUAGGGACUCUCGGUCGGACUUCUUCCACUGGUUUUCAGCAUGAUCAUUUUGAGAUUCAUCAGCGCGGCAGCACGCGUUCAUACCUGGUUUUACUUCCGGUGAGCGUGCCAUGGGGAGGUUAUCCGUUCCUCUGUCGGCGACACCGAGGCUGUUUCCAGUACUUGGCUUUUACAAAUAGGGUUGCUAUGAACAGGUGUAUGCAGGGCUUUGACCAGGUACACGUCUUCGUUUUACUGGGUUAAACGCCUAGGAUGAAAAACACAGCAGGUUUUGCAUGUAUUCGUCUUUAAGAAACUUGCAGGCUGUGUUCCAGAGGGACGGCUACUUCAGUGCCCACCAGCACGCGGAAGAGUUCCAGUCGCUUCACCGCCUCACCCACACUGGGUGUGGUGGGUCUGUUGGGCGUGAGCACUGUCUAGGGUGGGGUGUGCGCUCCCCGUAGUUUUCGCCUGUGUUUGCCGUGACGACCAAUGCCACCGACACCCUAAUUUGAAAGACCUGUGCUGUCUUUGGGGAAGUGUCUGCUCAGCCACCUGGUCUACUUUCAGCUGGCUCUUUCUCUCCCGACUAAUGGGUUUUCAGUGGCCUGUCUGUUUUGAGUACGGUCCUGGUGAGAUGCAGGCUUUUGAGGUGUCUUCUGCCGCUCUUCCACCCCCUUGAUGUUUUUCUUCAAAGGCUUCUCCCUCGGCUCAGUUCUGCGGCGGUGACGUCCAGGAGGCCGCAUGCAGACCCCAGGUCAGCCAGGUGCCACUCUCUCCCGGCUUUCUGAGGUUCGGAGCCUCCAGGGGGCCUUGCAGCUCUGUGCACGUGAGGGUGACAGCCUGGGUCCCCUCGCUCAGCAGAGGGGAAAACGCCGAAGUGCUGGGGGAGGAGAAGCAACGCUGAGUGACUGAGGGAGCCAGGGUUUGCAGCAAUGGGAACUGUCAGGAAUGUGCUCUCUUAAUGCAGAAGUGGAAUCGAUCCCGGGCCUGGCCCGCAGCAGGCAAAGAGGCCUCCUUCCUGGAGGGGCACGGGAGCGCGAGCGAGGCCAAGGCGGUGCAGGUGGGAGGGUGGGCUCACCGUGACAUCUGUACUCGGAGUCCCCGGAGCCCUCCGGAUGCUAGGGCGAGUUCAGGGGUCUCUCCCCGUCCCUCGCUGACCCCCAGGAGCCCUUCCAGAGCCGCAGGCUCCCAUCCAAGGGGAAGCGCUUCCUAGACGAAAACGACUCUCCCAUAGAGCGCGCGUUCCAAAGUGGUCAUUAGAGAGCAUGGAAAACUCCUCCUGGAAAGAGCUGGAAAGUUCUCAUGGAAACUAAGUUGGACUCGCACAUUGGAAAUCAGUCACCUGCGAUAUUUAAAAAUGAAGCUAAGCUGUCUGAGUGUACAUUUCAGAAAUGCAGCUGGAGCUGCCCAAUAAAAAUAUUUAAAACAU